RNAcentral lists this long non-coding RNA (446 nucleotides) under Phoenix dactylifera (date palm). Its description in RNAcentral is "long non-coding RNA (PDAC_LNC009924)". The record is from RNAcentral. Lineage: Eukaryota; Viridiplantae; Streptophyta; Magnoliopsida; Arecales; Arecaceae.
AGUGAGGAUGUAAAUGUUAGUGUUGUGUAGUCAUAGUGUCAUCAGGGGAAAUGUCUAGUAGAAGCAAUUGAGUCUCGCCAAAGCAAGGAGCAGAUAAAACCAAUAGUUUAAUAUUUAAUCAUUGCUAUUCACAACCUCCAUAUUUCUCUGAACUAAUAGAAGGCUUUUAGAGAGGACACUCGCUGAUACUAGAUCAUUUACUGAUAAAAUUUGUCUGGCGGGAGUUCUCUCAAGAAAACCGAAAGAAGGAAGGGGAUUGUGUCAAUCCAUCAAUCUCCCAAUCCUUGCUUUUUUUGUGGAUAAUCUGAAUCGCCCAUGAGUUCAAAUAUCUUAUACCAAAAAAUUUGGGGUAAGGUGAAAUGGCUAGCUAGCAUAUCAUAUUCAAAACUCCUCCCUUUUUCACGUCUCUCCAAGACAACCCUCAAUGGUGGGAUUUAUCUGGGAAU